ACGGGAGGCAGCAGUGGGGAAUAUUGGGCAAUGGGCGCAAGCCUGACCCAGCAACGCCGCGUGAAGGAAGAAGGCUUUCGGGUUGUAAACUUCUUUACCAGGGACGAAGGACGUGACGGUACCUGGAGAAAAAGCCACGGCUAACUACGUGCCAGCAGCCGCGGUAAUACGUAGGUGGCAAGCGUUGUCCGGAUUUACUGGGUGUAAAGGGCGUGUAGGCGGAGAUGCAAGUCAGGAGUGAAAUCUAUGGGCUCAACCCAUAAAUUGCUUUUGAAACUGUUCUUCUUGAGUGCUGGAGGGGCAAUCGGAAUUCCUUGUGUAGCGGUGAAAUGCGUAGAUAUAAGGAGGAACACCAGUGGCGAAGGCGGAUUGCUGGACAGUAACUGACGGUGAGGCGCGAAAGUGUGGGGAGCAAACAGGAUUAGAUACCCUGGUA
This 436-nucleotide ribosomal RNA is filed under the name uncultured Oscillibacter sp. RNAcentral's name for it is "partial 16S ribosomal RNA". It matches the Rfam family "Bacterial small subunit ribosomal RNA", at positions 341 to 792 of the family's 1533-position model. The record is from RNAcentral. Lineage: Bacteria; Bacillati; Bacillota; Clostridia; Eubacteriales; Oscillospiraceae.